UAGGGAAUCUUCGGCAAUGGACGAAAGUCUGACCGAGCAACGCCGCGUGAGUGAAGAAGGUUUUCGGAUCGUAAAACUCUGUUGUUAGAGAAGAACAAGGACGUUAGUAACUGAACGUCCCCUGACGGUAUCUAACCAGAAAGCCACGGCUAACUACGUGCCAGCAGCCGCGGUAAUACGUAGGUGGCAAGCGUUGUCCGGAUUUAUUGGGCGUAAAGCGAGCGCAGGCGGUUUCUUAAGUCUGAUGUGAAAGCCCCCGGCUCAACCGGGGAGGGUCAUUGGAAACUGGGAGACUUGAGUGCAGAAGAGGAGAGUGGAAUUCCAUGUGUAGCUGUGAAAUGCAUUGAUAUAUGGAGGAACACCGGUGGCGCAGGCGGCUCUCUGGUCUGUAACUGACGCUGAGGCUCGAAAGCGUGGGGAGCAAACAGG
Molecule: ribosomal RNA, 429 nt
Filed under: Gemmatimonadota bacterium
Lineage: Bacteria; Pseudomonadati; Gemmatimonadota
Description: Gemmatimonadetes bacterium partial 16S ribosomal RNA
Rfam family: Bacterial small subunit ribosomal RNA
Source: RNAcentral